GUUUCCGAGGCGCUGCAUUCAGUGGCCGCUGGGUGGUCUGUCCCCUUCUCUCCUCCUGAGGGGCUCCGUCAGUGCGCCGCUCACACCGUCGUCAUCUUCUGGUCUUCAUCCUCACAGCUGACAUGGCUGACCUUCAGAGUUUCUCACCACCUCCCUCAUUAAGCGUUGCUGAUUUCUUUUCAUUUUCAUUCUCGUCACCUUCAGUGGACCUUUUCGUUGCCGCACUUUCCACUCGAAGGUGGGCAGAGGAGGGCCACCAGGUGCACCCCAACACUUCAGGACAUGUCCUACUGUCACAGACUCCGAGACUUGACCCCGUGUAGUGUCAGGCAGUGUGGAGAGCUCAUCGAGGUCCUCAGAAUCCUCCAAGCUGAUCUUAUAAGAAUUCUGAGAGCUCAACGGCAGUCAUGUCCUCGAGGACACCAAACGUCCAUUUAGGCCUGAUGCCAGGAGCAGUUGUGGGAGUCUGCAACAAACUACCAAGCCUUGGAGCUGAAGGAGAAACCUGGAGACCCUUUACGAAUGAUCUGGAGCAGAUAUGGGGACAGCUUAACUAUCAGCUUAAGGAACGGGUGACAGAAGGACUGGAUAGUCGCCUCAUGUUUGUCACAUUUCCUCUGUUCUUAUUAUGCUAUCCAAUGCUGAGAUGACAACUAGUGAUGAACAUUCAGCCCUGUGAUUGGCUCUCAUUACGUUGCCUAAACUAUUGUAAUGGUGCAACCAGGGGGCAUCAGCCUGGGUUUGAGUCGCCAUCUGCCAGGGAGUCUAAGCAAACUUGUGCAAAUCGCAUCAGAAUGACAUCUGAUGUGACAACAGUGAGCGGUCCUUCUACCUAAAAGAGUGUGAAGCCAUUGGCCCUCGAUGCCACCAAGCAUCUUGUACUGAAGGUUGUCUCCUUGGCAAAAUGACACAAAUUCAGGAGAAGUGUGCAUUAGCUUGGGGUGAGAGGGAAGAAAAAGAAGGAGUGAGCAGAGCGACUGAGCAAAGAGUGACCAGCUUGUCCAUUCAGUUUGGUGUCAUUUGUAGGGCACAGGCGCAGGGCACUAGAGUGACUUUGCAGACCACCAAUGGUGCAAAUCCCAUAAACGCCUAAAGUGCACACAAGACGUUGAACCUACCAGGUGGACCCUUCUGACAUGACAGAUGACAUUGAGGUGACACCUGACAUCAAGGGAGCUCACAAGCCACGCUGAACAUGAAAAUGCAACUGGCCACCAUGAGAGAAUGUCAAAGUCUGGUAGUGACAUGUUGGGGUCCCUGUGUUGACUCAUCUUACUAAGUUGUGUUUUCUUGUGUGUUGAUGCCACCUUCGUCCUCCUCACCUCCUCUUCUUCAGUUCUUCAUGUUCUUCUCUCCACCUGUCAGGAGGUCAUUGGGACCUUGGGGCGCCAUCUGCAAGUGUCAGACCUCCGCUGUUGGUCCGCACCGUGACCCGGUGAUGUCCGAGUUCCUAGUCAAGGUCGGACGUCACUGUGGACUUCUCUUCUGCAGUCGCUUUGGAUGGAAGCUUCUGGUAAGAAGACAAAUGUGAGCGCACCUGGUCCAGGUAGAUGAGAACGUGAAACUAAAAUACGCCAUCAGUUGGCGCUGCUCCCACACAGUUCUGUGAUCUCAGGUUUGAAUGCCACGGGCGGCUGUGUCGAGUUUGCACCUUCUCCCCGUGUGCCAGUCUUGUGCUUUAUUACCCACACUUGGCGCUAACUGCAUGCAACUCGCGUGUAAAACAAGUUAAGCGGAGCCAUUGACACGCCAACUGGGGGGCACCACGUAAAUGAGCAGGACCGGGCUUUGGACUUCGGGGGGACGGUAGGGCAGCGGUCCAAGCACACAUUUACACCCGAGUGCACAGCUUGACCCAGGGCUGUCACCUGCUGACAACGUCUUACUCACAAACGGACCUUCGUGAGAGGUGUGAGCCCACCCAGCAGUGCCCAUUAAGGGGGUCACUAUGAAAUCCUUGAAAUUGAUGACGAGGACGAACCCCUGACUCCAUCAACGCACAACUAAGAGAUGAAGUGCCAUCGCAGCGUUUGGAGGGAAGUCCCAAAAGCCUGAGACCGGCAGUCGUCGGCACGCGUCAUACCCCCUCAUUUCAUUUGUCACCGUAAGCCACACAGUCACUCGGCGACAAGUCACAAGCGUCACAAGGCCCUGAAGAUGCGACGGCGACAGCUUGAUCUCCUGCGCUGCGUGACACUAGCGCUGCUGGCCACUCCUUCGUGGUCCGCCACUCUUUUCCAGCCGAGCUCCGUGGUGCUCAAGGACGGCAAACCGGCACGGAUCGAGUGUCGCGUCGGGGGCUCCUCGACCCGGGACACCACGUUUUACUGGUACCGUCAGAAAGGCGACACGGAGCUGCUCUGGAUUCUGUACUAUCAGGACACCUCGACUCAGGAAAAAGCGGAGUCGUUCGCCGGGAGAUUCUCCUCCACGAAACAGCGGGACCGACAGGCGGCCUUCUUGAUCAUAACGGAGACGAGCAGAGCCGACGAGGCCACCUACUUCUGCGCAGUCUGGUCAGCGCACCGCCACACAGGCGCUCGAGCGGGCGACACAAAAACGUGUCAAGUGCGCCGCCAGCUGGCCAUACCGCAAUCGAACAGAUCGCAAUGCGCGUGCGCACCCGGCGACUCGCAGCUCCGUGUUGUCAGUGUCAGCCGCAGUUUGGUGGCCCCAGAUGUUCAUUCAGAAAUCUCUACCUGCAUUAAUAGACGUGAGGCCAGGUAGCCGUGCCAUCUUCAGGUGGACCGUUCAGCAAAAUCGUUAAUGCCAUGGAAUACACGCGAAUGCAUGGCGCUGCUCGCAAAUGUCCAUCGCGUCCACACCUUAGGGCCACGGCGGACAGGUGAGCCGAGCAGACGACAUCGCGCAUCUGCAUCUGCAUCUGCACAGCCUUACGGAGGACAAGAAUACAACGGA
Non-coding RNA from Polypterus senegalus (gray bichir), 2919 nucleotides. The record is from the annotation of a RefSeq genome assembly. Lineage: Eukaryota; Metazoa; Chordata; Cladistia; Polypteriformes; Polypteridae.